UACGUAGGGCGCAAGCGUUAUCCGGAAUUAUUGGGCGUAAAGAGCUCGUAGGCGGUUUGUCGCGUCUGCCGUGAAAGUCCGGGGCUCAACUCCGGAUCUGCGGUGGGUACGGGCAGACUAGAGUGAUGUAGGGGAGACUGGAAUUCCUGGUGUAGCGGUGAAAUGCGCAGAUAUCAGGAGGAACACCGAUGGCGAAGGCAGGUCUCUGGACCAGUUCUGACACUGAUGAGCGAAAGCCAGGGGAGCAAACAGG
RNAcentral lists this ribosomal RNA (253 nucleotides) under uncultured bacterium. RNAcentral's name for it is "partial 16S ribosomal RNA". It matches the Rfam family "Bacterial small subunit ribosomal RNA", at positions 524 to 776 of the family's 1533-position model. The record is from RNAcentral.